Molecule: ribosomal RNA, 553 nt
Filed under: fungal sp. JH 100
Lineage: Eukaryota; Fungi
Description: eukaryotic LSU rRNA
Rfam family: 5.8S ribosomal RNA (bases 172-326)
Source: RNAcentral
CUGGCCCUAGGCACGUGCACGCUUUCUUUCUGGACUUUGGUCGUAUGGGCGCGGAGGGUCAACCUCUGCGUCUUCAUAUGCCCCUCUUCGUGUAGAAAGUCUUUGAAUGUUUUUACUAUCAUCGAGUCGCGACUUCUAGGAGAUGCGAUUCUUUGAGACAAAAGUUAUUACAACUUUCAGCAAUGGAUCUCUUGGCUCUCGCAUCGAUGAAGAACGCAGCGAAUAGCGAUAUGUAAUGUGAAUUGCAGAUCUACAGUGAAUCAUCGAAUCUUUGAACGCACCUUGCGCUCCUCGGUGUUCCGAGGAGCAUGCCUGUUUGAGCGUCAGUAAAUUCUCAACUCCUCUCGAUUGACUUCGAGUGGAGCUUGGAUAGUGGGGGCUGCCGGAGACCUGAAUAUUCGUGUUCGGGACUCGGGCUCCUCUGAAAUGUAUUGGCUUGCGGUCUGUUUUCGACUUUGCAUGACAAGGCUUUUGGCGUGAUAAUGAUCGCCGCUCGCCGAAGUGCAUGAAUGAAACCGUGCCGUGCCUCUAAUCCGUCGAUGCCUCUAUGGGG